Molecule: long non-coding RNA, 675 nt
Organism: Zeugodacus cucurbitae (melon fly)
Lineage: Eukaryota; Metazoa; Arthropoda; Insecta; Diptera; Tephritidae
Exons: 3
Source: RefSeq, a predicted model, not a curated record
CGUUAAGUGGGCUCAAAGUAUUUCGCGUAUUGCUGCUGGCCACUGUUGAGCUUAUGGAAAUUAGCUGGCUGUCGUUUCAGUACGAUUUGGACGGUUAAGCGUAACGCAAGUGCAGCUGUGAGAACGCCGUUGAUGUCGGAAUAGUGAAGAAUUGGUGUUUUUUAGUUGUGAAUUCGAUUUCUCGUGCAAACAAAGAAAAACAAUAAGAAAAAAGCCUUGACAACAAAGCGGUAGCUUUGAACGAAACAACAGCAGCAGUAACCACAAAAGUAGCAGCAGCAGCAGAGUACAGCAGUUGGUAGCGAAUAAAGUAUUGAACAAAAACGUGUUGGCAGUUACUCACUUAGAACUAACUCCAACAACAACAAGCAUAAACGCUGUAGCAAAAGCCAAGAGCAAAAUCAACCAUAUUCGUUAAUCAACCAACUGCACAUGUCACCGAAGUGAUAUUUUGGCAUACAAUAUUUUUUUAUUGAUUUAGAUACACGAGCAAGCGGAAAUUACGUGCCUAUGACUGCGAAAUUGUAAUUCAGAAUUUUUAAUUUAUAAAAAUAUACUAAUUUGUUUACUUGCAAGAAAGCAUAAACAAAUUAGUAACAAAGCGGUCAACACAACCACUCAGCAACGGUCUCUUUAGCACAAAACAAUCAAAUAAAGCGCAAAUAAAAUGUUGAU